GAUGAAGAACGUAGCGAAAUGCGAUAAGUAGUGUGAAUUGCAGAAUUCAGUGAAUCAUCGAAUCUUUGAACGCACAUUGCGCCCUUUGGUAUUCCAAAGGGCAUGCCUGUUCGAGCGUCAUUUGUACCCUCAAGCUUUGCUUGAUGUUGGGCGUCUUGUCUCUAGCUUUGCUGGAGACUCGCCUUAAAGUAAUUGGCAGCCGGCCUACUGGUUUCGGAGCGCAGCACAAGUCGCACUCUCUAUCAGCAAAGGUCUAGCAUCCAUUAAGCCUUUUUUUCAACUUUUGACCUCGGAUCAGGUAGGGAUACCCGCUGAACUUAAGCAUAUCAAUAAGCGGAGGA
RNAcentral lists this unclassified non-coding RNA (341 nucleotides) under soil metagenome. Its description in RNAcentral is "partial contains 5.8S ribosomal RNA, internal transcribed spacer 2, and large subunit ribosomal RNA". The stretch from base 1 to 120 matches the Rfam family "5.8S ribosomal RNA", at positions 35 to 154 of the family's 154-position model. The record is from RNAcentral.